Molecule: ribosomal RNA, 376 nt
Filed under: uncultured bacterium
Lineage: Bacteria
Description: bacterial SSU rRNA
Rfam family: Bacterial small subunit ribosomal RNA
Source: RNAcentral
CAGCAGCCGCGGUAAUACGUAGGGUGCAAGCGUUAAUCGGAAUUACUGGGCGUAAAGCGUGCGCAGGCGGUUUUGUAAGUCUGAUGUGAAAGCCCCGGGCUCAACCUGGGAAUUGCAUUGGAGACUGCAAGGCUUGAAUCUGGCAGAGGGGGGUAGAAUUCCACGUGUAGCAGUGAAAUGCGUAGAGAUGUGGAGGAACACCGAUGGCGAAGGCAGCCCCCUGGGUCAAGAUUGACGCUCAUGCACGAAAGCGUGGGGAGCAAACAGGAUUAGAUACCCUGGUAGUCCACGCCCUAAACGAUGUCUACUAGUUGUCGGGUUUUAAUUAGCUUGGUAACGCAGCUAACGCGUGAAGUAGACCGCCUGGGGAGUACGG